RNAcentral lists this long non-coding RNA (2716 nucleotides) under Oryza sativa (Asian cultivated rice). Its description in RNAcentral is "long non-coding RNA (OSAT_LNC000595)". Lineage: Eukaryota; Viridiplantae; Streptophyta; Magnoliopsida; Poales; Poaceae. The record is from RNAcentral.
UCACUGAAGCCCGGAUCCGUAGUAGUGCUAUUUGGUUUCCUGCACUUCACACUAUCUCAAUUCUUAUCACAGUACUUGGGAACAUCAAUCUCCAAUUCAGUUUAGUCUUGAAAAUAGUUUUGCAGUCGAGUAUGUCAGUAUUUCUAAUAUGAUGCUGCUCGUAAAUUGAACCAAUUUCUUAAAUUUGCCAAAUUCAGAUUUCUUAAAUUGAACCAAGCCAACCCUGCCCAUCUGAUUAGGUGGACUUCUCAUCUGCUGGAAUAGAUGUAUCAGUUGAUCUCAGUUUGGCAGUAACCAAAUAAACCAGAAAAUGUUGUAAAAAGUACUUAGAGUGAGGAUAAGAGCAUGUGCACAAUAAUUCAGAUGUUUCUAGCACCACAGAAAUACAAAUAAACAGUACCAGAGGGACAUAAUCAAGCACAAUUCACAUAUAUUUGAGAGAUGAGAUAUAUAACUUCAUGGAAUUGACACAAGAGAAGGUUUCUUGGACUCACCUUGGAGAGAGCGGAUAGUAGGACGAUCCUGAUGGAGAGCAACACUGAUAGGGAAGGUAGAAUUUUGCUUUGGUAUAUAUUUAGCUCAGUAUCUACCUAAAUGAAAUGAAACAAAAUCAGCGAGGGAGUUUUAAAAAUAAAAUACCGCUGACCUCCUAAAUGCAGUAAUCACAGCUACAGCAAAACCAACUUCAUUCAGCUUGGAUGUUUUCAUUAGUAAAAUCACAACUCAGACACUACCGCAAAAAAAAGAUAAGAACCAAUGUUGAAAUCCAAUCAUCAGAAGAACAAAAACGAUGGAGUAUAGUAUAACAGUGGAAGUACAGUAAAUAUAUAUGCUUAAUUCUCUGAUCCCAUACUUCCCCUAUUGUCACAUCAAUACCGUACACUUGAUGAUUUGAAAUUCGAAUCGUCAUAUACUGCUAUACAUGUGGCAAAUGUGAAAAAAUAACUGAAAGAUCAAAAAUCUGAUUUUGGAGAUCUUAACAAAUGUAAAUUGUCUAAAAUACCCUAGAAAGAAAAAGAUGCUCCCACAAUCACAUGGUCACUCAUUGAAAGUCACAAUCUGAUUAGGUGGACUUAUAAUGUACUGCAAUAGAUGUAUCAGUUGAUCUCAGUUUGGCAGAAACCAAAUAAAUCACAAAAUGUUGUAGAAAGUACUUAAAAUGAAGAUAAGAUCAUGUCCACAAUAAUUUAGAUGUUUCUAGGACCACACAAAUACAAAUAAACAGUACCAGAGGCACAUAAUCAAGCACAGUUCACAUAUAUUUGAGAGAUGAGAUACAUAACUGAAUGGAAUUGACACAAGAGGAGGUUUCCAGGACUCACCUACGGCCAGCGGGCAUGCAGUGGGCAGCAACAGCAAGCCUUUUACCUGCAAGAAGUAUUUGAGAUGUCAAGGAUUUUGUUGCAGGAAUCACUAUAUUGGUAAAUACAAGGUGCAAAAGAAUAAUUAAUAUCAGAGAAUCAAGAGAAUAAUUAAAUAAUUAAUAACUGGAAAAUAAGUACAUGUGCAGCUAAAAUAACCCAUUCAUGGAGUACCCUACGCAUUCAUGAGUUAUACACAAUGUGCAAGUAUCUAUAAUCGAUGGAAUAAAGCAUAUAAUAGUUGCUUGAAGUUUAUAUUAUCUAUUCACAAGGAACAUGAUGCUCUGAAAUUAAGUUCAGAAUCAUUUAUUCAUCAACCUUUGUAAGCUGUUUUCAGAGUUAAGUUCAGAAUCAUUUAUUCUAACUAUCAUUAUAAUUUUUCAUCUGAUUUACAGGAAGAAACUUUUGCCACCUUCAUGUAGUUGUUAUCCAUGUUUUCUUCAUGCAUAUUUUCACCAGAUACUGGUUAUAAUGGGUUGCAUGGCUGUUCUUCCGAGAUUUCCAACAGUGUGCAGAGCUGAUAUAACUCAAUCAUGCAUGGUAUUAUUCCAUCCAGACCAAUCUGAAUUAUAUUUGUUGAAUCGACAACCCAAUUGAGACCAUAUGAAUCCUUGCAAUGUGGCUUUCUAUUGGUAAAUUAGAGCUAAAAAACAAUAUCACUACGAUAGGAACGUUUUUUUGGUCAAACUGAACUGAAAAGAAUUUGUGGAAAGUCAGAACAUAAUUGAACUACAAAAAUAAUAUCACUACAACUGUUUUAACCAUAAUUGUUGCCCUAUGAUGGAAAGUCAGAACUAUUGAUAUGGCAUGUCAGCAAGAUUUGUUUUCUUUUCAGCAACAGAGAAACUGUCAAAUAAAACUAUAAGGAGUCACGGAACAUUCGCUCAUUUGGAAUAAUAGAUGAAUCUGUUACAAAGUAAUAAUAUAGUCUAAUAUGAUACAAUCAGAUAAGUUUUGUACAGGUUGAAUCUCAGUUGAUGAGGAGCAGUUGAUAAUAAUAUGUUGUUGAUGAUGUGUUGAGCUAUACCGUGAAAUGAGAUGGCAGUGAGAUGGGUGGCGAGCAGGGACAGCGGUCAGGCCAUCAGGAUCGUGUUGGCGUCCUUAUAAGGUCAGGCCAUCAGGGUCGACGGUUGGUGAGGCGUUGAUCCAGGGUCGUGUCGGCGUCCGGCGUUGAUCGGCGUCCGGUCUCCAGGUGGUGCAGCAUGAUGGCGAUGGCGAAGGUAGAGCCGUAGAGGUGCGGGCGCGGCGGCAGGGAGGGAUGAGGGCGGUGGCAGGGAACGUUACGGCGGCAGGGGAGGGAUGCGGUUCAGAGAGAGAGGAGCGGAUCUGGGAGAGCGAGAGACGAGCGGAUCUGA